CCUGUGUACCACUUUCCAGGGCGAGAAUUGAACACUGUCAGCAUCUCAGGAGCCUUUCCUCCCGCUUCUCAAUCACGGAGUCUCCUCUCCUCACUGCCAAAGAUGCUCUUUAUCCUUAUGCCUAAUCCUGGAGUUUAGUUUUUCAAGUUUUUAUAAAUGGAGUCAUUUUUCUGCCUGAUUAUGGAAUUGUAUCUGCUUACAUCACUCAACAGUGUGAUGGCGAGGUUCCCCCAUUGCAUACAACAGUAUCUCAUUUAUUGUUGGUAUACCAGUAAUUGCAUUGUAUGACGGACUAUUCCACAAUUUUACUUACCCAUAUUACUCCCGACACACAUUUAGGUUGUUUCCAAUUAUAACUAUAAUAAAUAUUGUUAUUUAUUAUAAUAUGAACAUUAUUUUUUCUUUUCCAUUGCAGUUUAUGACAAGAUAUUGAUGAUAAUCCCCUGUGCUAUACAGUAGGAACUUUGUGGUUUAUUUAAUAUAUAGGAAAGUGUAUUUGUUAAUCCCUAAUUUAUCCCAUCCUCCCUUUCUCCUUCUGUAAUCAUAACUUUGUUUUCUAUGUCUGUGAGCCUGUAGCUGUUGUGUAAAUAAGUUACCACGACCAUUCUUAAACAGUCUCUUAAGGCACAUGCACACACAUAUCUGUUGGAUAACUAGUAGGAGUGAAAUCUCAACACCAUAGAGUAUACAUACAUUAACGAUAAUAGAUGAUUAGUAAUUGCACCCGCAGUAUACAAAACUCCUUGUCGUUCCAGGAACUCUCCAAUAUUUGGUAUUGUCAGUCAUUGUCACUUUAGCCACUCUAGGAUACACACUAUACCUCAUUGUACAUUUAAUGUGCAAUUUCUUGAUAAAUAAUAAAGCAAAGCACUUUUCUAUGUAUGUUUAUUUGCCAUUGGAUAUCCUCUUUUGAGAUCUAUCUAUGUUGCAUGCAUCAAUAUUUUACUACCUUUUAUUUCUGAAUAACAUUCCAUAGUACAGAGAUAUCACAAUUUUUUAUUAUUUGUUUAUUCAUUCACCACUUGAUGGCCAUUUAAGUUGUUUUCAUUUUUAAGCAUCUAUGAAUAAUACUGCUCAGUACAUUCUUGCACAUAUAAUAUGCACAAAUGUUCCAUUUCUCUUGUUUAAAUAACUAUAAUAAUGGGAUUUAUUAUAUGUUAAGUACGUAUUUUACAAAGUAGUUGUGCCAAUUUUGCAUUCCCACUAACUACAUUAUCUCACAUUCUCACCAACAUUUGGUAUUAUUAGUUGUUUUAACUUCAAUCAUUCUAAUAAUGUGUGAAAAUACCUCAUUUGGAAUUUCAUUUUGCAUUUUGCUGAUAAUCAAGGCUGUAAAACCUCUUUUUCAUGUGCUUACUGGCUGUUUUCAUUUGUGAAGUAUCUGUUCAAAUCUUCAUAUACUUUUAAAUUAGGUUGUUUUCUAAUUAUUGGGUUAUAAAUAUCCACUGUACAUUCUAGAUACAAAGCCUUUGUCAGAUAUAUGUUUAGGAAAUAUGUAUUUAUGCCAUUGACUUUGGUUUGUUUGGUUUAUUGGUUUUUUCCUUGGUUUUUUGUUUUUUGUUUGUUUGUUUGUUUGUCAUUUCAGGGCCAAACCUGCAGCAUACGGAGGUUCCCAGGCCAGGGGUCCAAUGGGAGCCAGAGCCACAGCAACACCAGAUCUGAGCCAUGUCUGCUACCUAUACCACAGCUCACAGCAACGCUGGAUCCUUAACCCCCUGAGCAAGGCCAGGAAUCGAACCUGCAACCUUAUGGUUCCUAGUUGAUUUGUUUCCAAUGCACCACGACGGGAACUCCCGCCAUUGACUUUUAAAUUUUCAAUCUAAUAUGUGUAUUUAAGGAUCUAAAUUAUCCCUUAAAUACAGCUUUAACUGAAUCCCACAAUAUUUGAUAGUAAAAUAUUACUUAUCAUUCAUUUCAAAAUAUCUAUUAUUUUCUAUUAUGAGAUCUUCUUCGAUCCGUAGAUAAAUUGGAGUGUAUUCACUUUCAAGAGUGAAGGUUUUCCAGUUAACUUUUUAUUGUAAUUUAUAGUUAAUAGUUUAACUGCUCUGUAUUCGGUGAAAUUUUCUACACAACUUCAGUCUUUUGAAAUUUGUUGAAACUUACUUUAUGGCCUUGCAUAUGAUCAAUUUAUGUAAAUGUUUCAUGUGUACUUUGAAAUAAUGUAUAUUUUAUAGUUGGCUAUAGUUUCUACAUCUCUAAUUAGGUAGUAUUCAUGUUUUUCAAAACUUUUAUUUCUUUAUUGUUUUUUCGUCUGCUUGCCCAAACUUUUUUUUUUGAGAGGCAUUUAAAAUUUUUCUGUUAUGAUUGGGAAUUUUUCCACUUCUGUUAAUUUUUGCUUUAUAUAUCUAUGUUAUUAAAUAUACACAAAAAAGAAUUUUUAUAUCUUCUUGGUAAAUUUUUCAUUUUAUUAUUUUGAACGCUCCAACUUUAACUUGCUUGUUUUUGCCUAAAAGUAUAUAUUACCUGGUAUGUAAACAAGUAUGUAUAAGUUUUCUUGAGGUUACAGUUUGCACAAUAUAUCUUCUCUCUCAUUUUUUUCCACUUUUAAUUUUAUAUUAUUGAUUCAUUUCUUAUGUGCUACAUAUAAUUAACUUUUUAUCACAUCUGAGCAAACUUUGUGUUCUAACUGGAGAAUUAGUUUACAUACAAUUCAUACAAUUAAUGACUAUUUAGGUUCAUUUUAUAAUUAUUAAAGUAUGGUUGAUUUACAAUGUUUUUUCAAUUUCUGUUGUACAGCAAAGUGACCCCAUCACACACAGUUCCCUGUGUUGUACAGUAGGAGCCCAUUGUCCUUCCAUUUCAAAUGAUAGAGUUUGUAUCCACCAACCCAAAACUCCCCUUCCAUCCAAUUCCCUCCCUUCUCCCCAACAAGUCUGUUCUCUAUGUAUGUGAUCUGUUUCUGUUUUGUAGGUAGGUUCAUUUGCGCCAUAUUUUAAAUUCCUCAUGUAAGCGAUGUCAUAUGGUAUUUGUCUUUCUCUUUCUGACUUACUUAACUUUGUAUGAGAAUCUCUAGUUCCAUCCAUGUUGCCACAAAUGACAUUAUUUUGUUCUUUUUUAUGACUGAGUAGUAUUCCAUUGCAUAUAUGUACCACAAUUUCUUAAUCCAGUUAUCCGUAGAUGGACAUGUAGGUCAUUUCCAUAUCUUGGUUACUGUGAAUAGUGUUGUGAUGAACAGAGGAAUGCAUGUUUUUUUUUUAAGAUUUUUAUUUUUUUCUAUUAUAAUUGAUUUACAAUGUUCUGUCAAUUUCUGCUGUACAGCAAAGUAACACAGUCAUAGACAUAUAUACAUAUACAUUUUUCUCACAUUAGCUUCCAUCAUGUUCCAUCACAAGUGACUAUAUAUAGUUCCCUGUGCUAUACAGUAGGAUUUCAUUGCUUAUCCACUCCAAAUGCAAUAGUUUGCAUAUACUAAGCCCAAACUCCCAGUCCAUCCCAGUCCUUCCCCUCCUUGGCAAUGGGGUGCAUGUGUUUUUUGAAUUAAUGUUUUGUCUGAAUAUAUGCCCAGGAGUGGGAUUGCUGGAUAAUAUGGUAGUUUUAUAUUUAGUUUUCUGAAGAAACUCCAUACUGUUUUCCUUAGUGGUUGUACCAAUUUACAUUCCCACCAAGAGUGAAGGAGGGUACCCUUUUCUCCACACCCUCUCCAGCAUUUGUUAUUUGUUGACUUGUUAAUGACGGCCAUUCUGACAAGUGUGAAGUUGCACCUCAUUGUAAUUUUGAUUUGCAUUUAUCUAAUAAUUAGUGAUAUUGAUCAUUUUUUCAUGUGCCCGUUUGCCACCACUUCUAUUAUCAUACUCAGCCCCUUCUAUUUGUUUCAUUUAUUCUUCAUUGUUUUUUCAUCUUUCUUUUUUGGGUAAUGCAUUUUUAUUAUUCCAUUUUUUUCUCACUAUUCUCUUAAUAGUAAUAUCUACCCUUGCAGUUCUUUCAGUGGUUUCCUUAAAGAUGACAGUACUCAUCCCCAGGUUGUCAAAGUCUAAUGUUGCUUGGCACUUUUUCUCUUUUCCAGAUCAAUGCAAAGAACUUGGAAGAUUUCAAUUUCACUCACUCUUCCACUUUUAUGAUAUGGUCAGAUUUUCUCAUAAGGCUCUACUAUUAUUUUUAACAUAGGCAUUAUUUGUUUAAAUCUGUCCAUCUAUUCCUCAUUUUCAUUGUACUUUAUUCCAUUCUGUAUCUCAAAUUUUGAGCCUGAAUAAUCUUCCUUCUGUCUUUGGUGUAGAUUACAGCUGAUAAAUUCUUCCAGUUUGUACUUAUCUGAAAAUGCUCUAUAUCUAUUUUGGGAAGGUAUUUUCACUGAGCAUAGAAUUCUCAGCAGUAGUUACUCACUAUGAAUGCUUUAAAGAUAACAUUUCAUUACUCUAGCUUUCAUUGUUUCUCUUCUGAAGUCAGCUUGUCACUCUAAUAGUUGUUCCCUGGAAAGUAGUUUGCCUUUUUCUCUUUUGAAUGCUAGUAUUAUUUUUUCUUUUUUUUUUUUUUUUCUUUUUUUUGGUGUUCAGAUGUUACAUGAUGACAAGUCUGCAUUGGUUUGUUUGUUAUAUUCCUGCUUGGGCUCUGUUAAAAUGAUUGAAUAUAUGACACUAUGUUUUGCUAACUUUAGAAAAUUCUCAGAUUCAUUCCCUAUCACAUAUUGCUUCUGGCCCAUUAUCUCUCUUCAAUGCUCCAGAGGCUCCAAACCAUUUUUUUUUUCCCACAGUGUUGUUUACACUCUCUCUGCAAUUUCCUAAUUUUAACUCUCCAUGAUUCACUUUGUGUUUGGCAGUUGUAGAUUUUCUUUGUGACUCCUU
This 4778-nucleotide long non-coding RNA is filed under the name Sus scrofa (pig). RNAcentral's name for it is "lncRNA (ENSSSCG00000055790.1)". Lineage: Eukaryota; Metazoa; Chordata; Mammalia; Artiodactyla; Suidae. The record is from RNAcentral.